GACAGAGGGUGCAAACGUUGUUCGGAAUUACUGGGCGUAAAGAGCGUGUAGGCGGCCAGAUAGGUCAGCUGUGAAAACUCGAGGCUCAACCUCGAGAUGUCGGCUGAAACCAUCUGGCUAGAGUCCGGAAGAGGAGAAUGGAAUUCCCGGUGUAGCGGUGAAAUGCGCAGAUAUCGGGAAGAACACCAGUGGCGAAGGCGGCUGACUGGUCCGGUUCUGACGCUGAGGCGCGAAAGCGUGGGGAGCAAACAGG
This 253-nucleotide ribosomal RNA is filed under the name uncultured bacterium. Its description in RNAcentral is "partial 16S ribosomal RNA". It matches the Rfam family "Bacterial small subunit ribosomal RNA", at positions 524 to 776 of the family's 1533-position model. The record is from RNAcentral.